GAUUCUGCAGUCCUGAGUCAUGGUCAUGAGGAGAAGAGCUGUAACACGGUGAUACAGAAUUUCCAAUCUCUAACCUGAGCAGACUGUGAGACCUGAAAACCUCUUCAAUGCUUGCCAUAUUCCUCUUCACAAGGCUCCCACAGAACAUUUCCAUUUUACAAAUUGGGAAUCAGGGAGAAGAAGGACUUCAUGUAUUGCACAAAGGCAUAAAAUGAAUCAAAGAAUCCCAACUCCAGGCUAACGUUUGCUGCCAAAUCAGUCUUCUUACUUACUGCCCUUCAUGGUCAUUAAGAAAGAAACCAGACUCCAGUUCUAUCACAGGCCUGCUCAUCAGCGUGUUCACAGAGCAGCUCAGAUCCCAGCUUGGAUGCUUCAGGGUCACAGCCUUCAUCAGCUCCACCAGCAGAACCCUUGUCAGCUCCUGAGCCAACAUCCAAAUGCUUUCCUAACGCUUGGCUACCUUAGAGAACAGCAAUGCUGAACCCUGAGAAGCAA
Long non-coding RNA from Centrocercus urophasianus (Greater sage-grouse), 495 nucleotides. RefSeq lists it as uncharacterized. The transcript has 4 exons. NCBI's taxonomy places the organism in Eukaryota, Metazoa, Chordata, Aves, Galliformes, Phasianidae. The record is from RefSeq and is a predicted model, not a curated record.